UAGCCAGACUCCUACGGGAGGCAGCAGUGGGGGAUAUUGCACAAUGGGGGAAACCCUGAUGCAGCGACGCCGCGUGGGUGAAGAAGCGCCUCGGCGCGUAAAGCCCUGUCAGCAGGGAAGAAAAUGACGGUACCUGAAGAAGAAGCCCCGGCUAACUACGUGCCAGCAGCCGCGGUAAUACGUAGGGGGCAAGCGUUAUCCGGAUUUACUGGGUGUAAAGGGAGCGUAGGCGGCCUGGCAAGCCUGAUGUGAAAUACCGGGGCCCAACCCCGGGGCUGCAUUGGGAACUGCCAGGCUGGAGUGCCGGAGAGGCAGGCGGAAUUCCUAGUGUAGCGGUGAACUGCGUAGAUAUUAGGAGGAACACCAGUGGCGAAGGCGGCCUGCUGGACGGUGACUGACGCUGAGGCUCGAAAGCGUGGGGAGCAAACAGGAUUAGAUACCCGCGUA
Molecule: ribosomal RNA, 447 nt
Filed under: uncultured bacterium
Lineage: Bacteria
Description: bacterial SSU rRNA
Rfam family: Bacterial small subunit ribosomal RNA
Source: RNAcentral